GUGGGGAAUAUUGGGCAAUGGGCGCAAGCCUGACCCAGCAACGCCGCGUGAGGGAAGAAGGCUUUCGGGUUGUAAACCUCUGUCCUUGGUGACGAAAAAAAUGACGGUAGCCAAGGAGGAAGCCCCGGCUAACUAUGUGCCAGCAGCCGCGGUAAUACGUAGGGGGCGAGCGUUGUCCGGAAUUACUGGGCGUAAAGGGUGCGUAGGUGGCCUUUUAAGUUGGAUGUGAAAUUCCCGGGCUUAACUUGGGGGGUGCAUCCAAAACUGGGAGGCUAGAGUGCAGAGGAGGAAAGCGGAAUUCCUAGUGUAGCGGUGAAAUGCGUAGAUAUUAGGAGGAACACCAGUGGCGAAGGCGGCUUUCUGGACUGUAACUGACACUGAGGCACGAAAGCAUGGGGAGCAAACAGGAUUAGAUACCCGUGUAGUCC
Molecule: ribosomal RNA, 428 nt
Filed under: uncultured bacterium
Lineage: Bacteria
Description: partial 16S ribosomal RNA
Rfam family: Bacterial small subunit ribosomal RNA
Source: RNAcentral